This 460-nucleotide ribosomal RNA is filed under the name Rhipicephalus sanguineus (brown dog tick). RNAcentral describes it as "partial 16S ribosomal RNA". Lineage: Eukaryota; Metazoa; Arthropoda; Arachnida; Ixodida; Ixodidae. The record is from RNAcentral.
CCCUUCCCCCCUUUUUUUUUUACUUUAUUUUCCUCCCUGCCCCCAAACUUUUUUAAAUUGCUGUGGUAUUUUGACUAUACAAAGGUAUUGAAAUAAGAUUUUAAUUGAAUGCUAAGAGAAUGGAAGUCCAGAAAAAAACUUUUUUUAAAUUAAAAAUUGAAGUUUUUUUAAUUUGUGCAGAAACAAUUAUUUAUAUUAAAGACAAGAAGACCCUAUGAAUUUAUUAAAUUUUUAUUUAAUAUGUAAUUACUAUUAGAAAAAUUUUGGCUGGGGCGGCUAGAAAAUAUUAUGAACUUUUUAAAAAUAAAAUGAUCCAUUAUUAAUGAUUUUAUGUUAAAUACUCUAGGGAUAACAGCGUUAUAUUUUUUGAUAGAUCAUAUUGACAAAAAAGUUUGCGACCUCGAUGUUGGAUUAGGAUACUUUUUUAAUGAAGAUAUAAAAAAAGAAGUUGUCACGUAAC